Chinchilla lanigera (long-tailed chinchilla) is the source of this 2934-nucleotide long non-coding RNA. RefSeq lists it as uncharacterized. The transcript has 5 exons. NCBI's taxonomy places the organism in Eukaryota, Metazoa, Chordata, Mammalia, Rodentia, Chinchillidae. The record is from RefSeq and is a predicted model, not a curated record.
GUCACACCUGGCUUCAAAUAUACUUUUCAGUUAAACAAGAAUUAAAAAUGUAAUGAUAGUUUCAAGUGGCAUAAUAAUUUAUCUUCAGAUGUGGAGUCACACAAAAAAAGGAGAUAGUCAUGUUAGGUUCCCACUUGAAAAUUUUAUGGUCUCUGAUGUGAAAACUCCACAUUUUGAAGCUAUCUCUAUCCUAUUCAGACCAAUCUCUGUUUUCCAAAAGAGUAAAGUCCAUGUAUCUCAGUUUACCUGCGUCAGCCCUUAGUCCUGUGUAAUAGCAAUUUCAUUAUUCUCCAGAUACUCUGGUGUAAAUGGUAAGUUGUAGUUACCCUAGUAAUGAGGGAACCGACUCCCAAGUUGAAAGAUGUGUACAGGUACUGCAAAUAGUCCAAGGUAGCCCAUGGCAAAGUAGAGAUGAACACCCCAAGCUUCCAAACCAGGGUUAAAUUGGCUUUACUGUUGCCAUCCAUGAUUAUAGAUUAAUUGAAUGAAUGCAAAAGCUCCUCAAUUUUUACUAAGUCUUGCAAAGUUCUCAAACGUCAGCUUGUAUUGGAAUCACAGAAGGGUCUGUGCCCCCCUCAGAACUUCUUAUUUUGGAGGUCCACAGUGGGACUGAGAAUGUAAAUAUCUACCAACCUUCUGAGGAACACCAGGGCUGAUUGCUGAGGGAGCUCUCCCUCUAUGGACUCUGACUCGAGCAGUCCCCUUCCUCAGCUGUUGGAGUUCUCAACAUAUAAUUUAUUUUAUAUGCAACAGGAUUUUCCCAAAGCAAGAAAAUAACCCCACAGGGAUGCAAUGGAAAAUUAAUUCGAAGUAAAUAAUACACAGAUGAGGGUCAGGUGACACAGGACUGGGUGGGUCAAUUUUUCACAAAGGGUUCAAGGCCGAUCAUUGCAGGCCACCCAGGCAGGGUGCUCCACAAAGAGGGAGAAAUUGCCUCCACACUUGUGCUUGAGGGCCUCUGACUCAAAGUGACCCUGAACCAUGGCAUCAUUUGGAAGUUGCUAGAAAUGCACGCUGGAGAAAGAUCGAGGGCUUCCCACGAGCACCCUGGUUCACCUGCUGUGGUGAGUGAUGGCAGAAAGGAGGAACUGGGUCACUGGCUUGGAGGGUAGCUUAAAGGGUACAUUUGGAGAAAUAAGUAAGUGGAAUUAAAACGGAAUUAAGCAUCAUGUGAGAAAACGGAGGCUGGUGGGUUUAGAGUCCAAAUGACAACAUGUCUCUCAGGAAAUAGUUUGUUACCACAAUUGCUUAUUAAGUCAGGGGAUAGAGGAUGGAGUUGGUAGGAAAGACAAGCAUUGAAAAACAGCACUAAAAUCAGAUUCACCAGGAAUGUCCCAAGGCAGUUGGAGUUAAUGGGGAGAGUUUCCGGUGGUGUGCUAGCAGAGAAGCUUGAAUUCACCAAGACCGAUUCCAUCUCAUUGCUAAGGCAGGGGCCUUGAAUUCUAAUUCCCUGACGGUGUUCUUGUCAAAUACAUAUUAAGAAUAGAGUUUCAUAGGAGCACACACAAUCACCUCUGCAACUGCGGCGUUUUAUGUGACUUGCGGACGCUCAAAACGCUGCGGUUGCUAAGAAUGACGUGGUUUUCCCCGCAGUUGAGCCUCAGCCUCGGGGACGGCACCACGGCUCGCCACACUUCUCCUCGCAGGUGCACCUGCAGUUUUGAGUCAACAAGAACUGCCAACCCAGGGUGAUAAGCUCCAUAUAAAUAAUUAAUGACACGGAACUAAUUACUCCUGUAUUAGGCCACCUGCACCGGCAAAGCUCGAGAGGCCCAGGUGUGAAAAUUGCAGGGGCAACUAAUUGAGAGCUGCGUUUCAUCAAGGAGACCCUGUCGAGGAGACCCUGGCUGCUUCCGGCUCUCCUUCCUGUUGGGGUUCAGCAAGGCGCACACGGGUGGCACGGGCAGUGUUUGUAACUGUCUGACUAGGCAGGCAGAGGACACGGUAACCCUUAUACCCAGCCCUCAGAGGCCACCAGAAGGCAAUAGGGAUUAGCUUUAAUUAGAGGAAAAUGGAGCUUGCAAGACACGGUUGGAAAUUUCCCCUUGAGGGGUGUGGAACCUGUUGCCCAACAGCUUGCGAGAAGGCCGCAUUUAGGAGCAGGGGGACUUCUGGGUCCUUAUUCAAGUAGCGUCAAGCAGGAUUUCAGUCGCUCAAAGUGAAUUAAAUUAUUUAUAUCUCGCUGUAUGAGGUGUCAUAAAGGUGCUUCGUUUGGUGGGGAGUCUCUAUUUUGUCGCCUUGGCAGCGGCGGUGGCGUGUGUGUGUGUGACGCAGGAGUCGUUUGAAGGAAAGGACUGCAAAGUCCCGGUCGUGUGCUCUGACCUCACUGCCAGCAGAACUUCUCAGGCUCUCGUACAGCCCGCCUCAUUAUUUUGUGUUGGCUCUGGAAAGAAGGAGAAAGGAGCACGGCGUGAUGACGACGGAAGCUACGUACCUCUAGCAGCUUCACAGUCAGUGUUUGCUUCGGGUACAAAAGCUCUCUCUGAAGCUGGAACUCCUUGCUUAGCGAAAGUCUGUUCCCGAUUAGAAGUCCUUUGUCCCGGCUUGAAGAGACAGCUGUAUCCAGUGACGUUUCCACCAGUGAUGAGAGUAUUCUUACUUUCAUUCUCACCAGGAGCAGCUAUUUCUGCUCCUCACCCGCAAUUUCUGAGCUGGAGCAAAAGUUACUCCUUAAAUUCCUUCACAGAACCUGGAAGCAUCUUUGUGUGUGACAGCAACAGCAGAGAGAGAGAAACAGAGGAGACAGAAUUGGAAUGUCACGCGUGAUUUAUGGAAAUUCUAGUAGUGAAAGAUGGAGAGGGAAAAAAAAGGGAGCAAAGGAUAUGUGGGACAUCCUGAAGCAGGAUCCUGUGUUGGACUGAGCCCUUCCUUAAGACCAAAAGGAAAGAAAAGGAAAAGAAGAGAAGAAAGCAAAGGAAAAAGGAAGGGAAGGAA